Molecule: ribosomal RNA, 490 nt
Filed under: uncultured bacterium
Lineage: Bacteria
Description: partial 16S ribosomal RNA
Rfam family: Bacterial small subunit ribosomal RNA
Source: RNAcentral
AUUGAACGCUGGCGGCAUGCCUUACACAUGCAAGUCGAACGGCAGCAUGAUCUAGCUUGCUAGAUUGAUGGCGAGUGGCGAACGGGUGAGUAAUACAUCGGAACGUGCCCUGUAGUGGGGGAUAACUAGUCGAAAGAUUAGCUAAUACCGCAUACGACCUGAGGGUGAAAGUGGGGGACCGCAAGGCCUCAUGCUAUAGGAGCGGCCGAUGUCUGAUUAGCUAGUUGGUGAGGUAAAGGCUCACCAAGGCGACGAUCAGUAGCUGGUCUGAGAGGACGAUCAGCCACACUGGGACUGAGACACGGCCCAGACUCCUACGGGAGGCAGCAGUGUGGAAUUUUGGACAAUGGGCGAAAGCCUGAUCCAGCAAUGCCGCGUGUGUGAAGAAGGCCUUCGGGUUGUAAAGCACUUUUGUCCGGAAAGAAAUGGCUCUGGUUAAUACCUGGGGUCGAUGACGGUACCGGAAGAAUAAGGACCGGCUAACUACGUG